GCGGUCGUGGCGGAAUUGGUAGACGCACUACCUUGAGGUGGUAGCGGGGCAACUCGUGGAGGUUCGAGUCCUCUCGACCGCACCA
RNAcentral lists this transfer RNA (85 nucleotides) under Alphaproteobacteria bacterium. RNAcentral's name for it is "tRNA-Leu". It matches the Rfam family "tRNA". From Rfam's summary of the family: Transfer RNA (tRNA) molecules are approximately 80 nucleotides in length. Their secondary structure includes four short double-helical elements and three loops (D, anti-codon, and T loops). Lineage: Bacteria; Pseudomonadati; Pseudomonadota; Alphaproteobacteria. The record is from RNAcentral.